CGGGGCUGGUGAGUAACGCGUGAGGAACCUGCCUUUCGGAGGGGGACAACAGUUGGAAACGACUGCUAAUACCGCAUGAUGUAUCGGGAUCGCAUGGUCUUGAUACCAAAGAUUUUAUCGCCGAAAGAUGGCCUCGCGUCUGAUUAGCUAGUUGGUGGGGUAACGGCCUACCAAGGCGACGAUCAGUAGCCGGACUGAGAGGUUGGCCGGCCACAUUGGGACUGAGAUACGGCCCAGACUCCUACGGAAGGCAGCAG
This 257-nucleotide ribosomal RNA is filed under the name uncultured bacterium. Its description in RNAcentral is "partial 16S ribosomal RNA". It matches the Rfam family "Bacterial small subunit ribosomal RNA", at positions 98 to 354 of the family's 1533-position model. The record is from RNAcentral.